GGCUUCUGCAGUCGUCCCCCGCAGUACUGGUCCCCUGCAAUGCAGCACAGCGCGCUGCCCUGAGCACGGCGGGAGCGGGAGCUGGUGCCGCCCCGAGGUGCUGCAGGGCCUCGCUGAGGGAGCCCGGCCGCCGCUGCCACAGCCCCACCACAGACACGGCCGAGCCCUCCGGCUCAGCUGGGGGCACCUCUGGGAAAACACAGUUAAUAAAGGGCAGCAAAACAAAGGGAGAGGAGCAUUCCUGCAAAUACUGGGGCUGGAGGAGGAGGAGAAGCUGGAGGUACUGGAGGAGCCAUCCCCGCAGCCCAUGGGGCAGCGGUGGUGGGGCUGACAGGCAUUCCCAAAGGAACUGCAGCCUGUGGUGUUCCUGAUGGAGAAGGGUCUUUUUCUUCCUCUCCUGCCCUCGGUUCCAAAUUAAAGAACUCCAUCAGAAAACUUUGCAAUGAAUCCACUUCCAGCAGUAUUGGCAUCUGAAGUCAUCUGCACCAACAUUUUAUUGCUGCUGGAUACAAGGGCACCUGGUUUCACAGUACCACAGAACCUGCCGAUGCGCUGUCCAUUGGCAUGGCCAUUGUAUAUAUCCACAAAAUCAUAUCGGCACAGAUUGUCACUUUCCAGGUCUAAAUAUCGAAAAGAAAGAACCACCACUUUUCCCUCUGGGACCUGCAGAGAGAGGGAAGGAUGGAGAGAUGCAUCUGGAAGUGUGACCACGUGUCUAUUGCAUCCUACUGUUUGCAUGACUGUUUUCACACCCUUCACUUCCUCUCAGCCUGAAUUGCUUCUUUGAAUAUACCUGCUCUCUCCCAGAGUUUGAAGAAGGAAGUGGAAAUGUGAGAGGUAGCUGGUUCUGGGCUCUGUUCCAGGAGUGCACUGACCCAGCACUGCUCUACUCACACCAGCCUCAAAGUGCUCACUCCUACCCCUGGAUAUUCUGCUCUCUCUGCUGCCCCACGGGGGACAGAGGGAACCAGGAUGUGGAACAGACCCCUGCUCAGGAGGGAGAGGACACUGGCAAAGCUGCCAAACUCCUAACUGCAGACAGCCAUUCACUCAAGUCUUAGGUUUUCUGGUUCAUGGUAUAAGUCAUUCCGUGCAGUGUUGUGCUUCCUUCUCCUCUCUCCACCACUGGCUAUACUAUACUAUACAACAUUACACUUUCUAAUUAUAUUUCAUUGUAGUUUUUAAUCUCUGCUUCUGUCAGUUUAGUCUAUUUGAACUUGGUCAAGAGUGUUCCCCAUAGAUGUACUGACUUCUGUUUCAUGAGUCUGUAAAAAAAUGUGUAGGAAAAACUCAGCCACAUGGUCAUGAACAUUUAACAAAGAGCCUACUGCAGGUUUUAGUUGUCAGAAUAAUCCUUGCUCACAUUCAGCUGAAUUUGGGGAGGUAAGUCAUUUAAAGAAAUGUGGCAGGCCCUUAAUUACAGUCACUACUUACUGGUAUUACUUUAUUUAAAAAAUAUACUUGCUUAUUAAAAUAUUUGUCAUUCACAAAAAUAACAAAUUUGUUCCAGUAUGUAAAUCAGUUAAUUGUGAUGUGAGUAGAUGACAAUCAGAAGUGCAGAGGAUGGUGGCUCCACAUUCUAGCAGCAGCUGUUCAAGUUUCUAGCUACUGCCAAGAAAUCUUGUGCUAAAUAAACGCAUCUUUGCAAAACUGUACUUUACUUUGAUUUCUACCGUUUUGCUUUUUUAAAUGUUGAAAACUAAUGUGCUAAAAUCUGCCAGUGUUUAUCCCAGGACAUUUAAAAUAUUGUUCCAUGAGAAACACAGGGGAGCAAGAAAAGGCCCGCCUGACUCAGUAUUGUUUACUCUGAGCCACAUCUGAGCCGUGAUGCAGUAAGAAGAUGUGAUACCUCAGAGGAAGAACUGGGAAGGAAUUCAGCUCUUAAAAGAAAAGAAAAAAAGAAGAGGGAGGAGUGAAAGGAAGAAUGAUGUGAUGCUUCAUCUGCAGGGUGUGCCUUAUUUUUGUUUUAUCCAUCCAGCUGGUAUCUUUCAACAACAGAGGCACUUCAUCCUCUCCUUGUCACGAAGAGGGCAACUGACCCAUACUCACUCUCUGCUUCCCUUCUUAUUUUAACUCUAUCAACUUAUUUAGGUUCAAAAAUUAUGAUGCUAAACUCAUGCAAAGGAUGCCUUACUCCUAUUAAAGGAGAAAGGAAUUUUUAGAGGGAGUUUUUGUAGAGCUUAAUUCCCUAAAAUCAUCUGUGUAGAUUACUAACCUCUUCAAAAGGGCAGGAUUACUCCAUAUAUACAACACACCUCAAAAUAAGGUCCUUAGCUUGUUUUUGGUUAUCAUUCAUUCAUUAUCAUUCAUUGCAGAUAUUUCAUAUAAUGUUAAUCAAAGUUCAGUUACCUUUAAAGUAGUGAAGCUGUUUUUCUGUUGUUGUUCUGACAAUACAAACCCCUCUUCAUCAAAAUUAUGUGGUUUAGAUUAUUUACUUUGAAAAUAAUCUUUUUUGGGGAGAGAACCCCUUAAGUGCCAACUUUCAUAAAUAUAUUUUGCCUAACUUUUAAACCUGUGUUGGCUUGAAUAUAUUUUGAUAUAUGUUUAAUACCAAAAUGCUGAUUGUAUGUUUUGCUAUAGCAGUCCUAGGUAGAGUUGAAAAACACAUCAGCUACCUGCAAGACAAAUGUAUUAUUUCUCUCUACUGAGAAUCAAUGUGGAAGUUAUUUGGAGUUACAACCUGGGAAGAACCAUGAUUUCUGCCUAGCUGCUUGUUCUCUAGCUCCAAUUUUAAAAAUUUGUAUUAGCUUGCUCUUCCUGACAAGGGCACUAGAUUUUGUUCAUCUCUUUCUUUUCUGGCAAUACAACCAUGUGUAAAGAUCUAUUUUCUACUGGAAGGGCAGUUUUACAAUGAUAUAGGAAAAUGAAUGCUUAAAACAUAGAAAAAAUUAUUUAAAAUAUUCUGCUCCCUCAGGGCAGAUUCCCAACUGCCCUGAUAAGUAAAUUUUUCAAACCUUGCUUACUGUCAGCAAACCUGCUGGAACGCAGCUCCUGAACCUAUAAAAACAUAACCUUACAUAACUCUGACAGUUUUCAGUAUUAUUGUAGCACAUAAAGUUGUUGGAGUUUUAUGGGAACUAAGCAGUCUGCCAGAUAAACACAGGACAGCAGUCCAGAUUCUUGGACUAUGUGACACAUUUAUGUGAGGUAAUGGCCAAGAAGGAUUACAGAGUAUUAAAAGUAAGUGUAUAUGACAUAUUUUAGAUAAAGCUAUAUACAUUACUAUAGGAAAGGAAAUAGCUCUGCAAAUGACUUCUUAGCAAAGUCAGUGAAAAGCUGCUGGGUAGUCUGCCAGGGUAGUAAUAGAACCACAAGCAUGUGCUGAACACUUCUUAGAGCUCUUAGAAUAGAGAAGCUGUUUUCUUUAGCCAGCUGAAAAAGUCCCAGUCUCUUGAAAUAACAGAACUGAGUCAGAGAGACUCUUCCAGCUUUAGCAAACCAGUUGGAAAGAUUUCAGAUGAUACCUGAAUGCUACACUGCUUUAUCUGUAUUACCUGUAAUGUUUUCUAAACCUAUUUUCCUCUAAAGAAUAAAUUAGCUCUCAUUCUGCCUCUCUGUGCAUUUCUUGUGCAGAUGAUGAGAUCCUAUAAUUGAGAAAACAACAGCUUCGUGCUUCUCGUGACCCAGACACAAAGUGAAUCAACGUCUCUUUCAGUCUUGCAGACUUGUCAGAUCCUGCAUUAGCAGAGUGUUUUCAGGAAGGUGUUCACAGCCCUUGGCUAAAACGGACAGGCAAAAAGUCUUAGUCACUUUCUAAGAGCAGAUGCUAAACAAAGAAGACUAACAGUAACUACAGAGUAUUUCUUCAUGGCAGUGUAACUGGCUUUCUUACUUGGGUGCUAUUGCAAGCUAUUCUGAGCCUCAGCAGAAUUUGGUGAAAGGAUUUUGUUGCUUAAAUUCAGGCUAACCAUACCCUUGAGUGUACUACUUUGCUGCAGUUUGGUAAACCAUUGUCUUUUUUUUUAAGAGAGUACAGGCUUAGUCUUGAAAGUUUUGUAGUCCUUGCCUUCCCUGCAUCCUUCCUGCACACCCAAAAGACACAGAGUGUUCUACAGUUGAUGGGGGAAAAUAAAUCAGCUUGGCUUAGUGAACAAUAUUGUUUAAUGAAACAGGGAUUAAAUGAGAUGAGGGCACAAGCAAACCUGGACUACUCCAGUUGUGCAGCCCUUCUGUGGCUUUGAGCAAACUACAGAGGACAAGUAGGAGGCAGUCAAAUGACAGCACAGCAGAAAACUGGGAGUCAGGGUGAUCACGAAAUGACAAAAGCCAUCGAGUUCCUCCCAUUGUCAAGAAAGCUCAAGUGCAGACACAGCUCUGCUACAGCUUUGGAGUAGUACUUCUCACCAUGCCCAGACUAAUCGGGAUGCUGGCACCUUGUUAGCAACAGCCACAUAAAGUCUGCAAUGAAACCACUCUGUAUGGACUUUCUAAGUACAAUCAUUUGUUCUUUUCCUCUAUCCCCCAUAUGAAGGGCAGAUACAUGGCAUGAUUCAAUAAUUGUUUCUUUAGUGCUGCCUCCAUUUGUUAUCCAAGUUUUUUAAUGGUAAAAACUUAAUGCUGUUAUAAGCAAAAUUAUUUUUUCCCCUCCAGAUUCAAUUUUAAACUUCUGAACAUCUGAGUUAUAUAGGUAACCUAACUUUGGACAUUUUUUCCCUUUUAUUAAAGGCAUGUGUGUAUGAUUCCAAAUGCAACUUGCAUCUGCUCUUCAGAUUGUGAGGUGGGCCAUGCUGAUUGCUGUCACCUUAGCCCCUCGAUAGCAAGAAAGCAAGUUUAUGGGCAUAUACCAUGUUUCACAUCAGACUCUUCUGGAUGAGGUCAGACAUGGAUCAAAGGUAACCUCUAACUAGGCCCCAAUAAUAACACAACAGAAAGGUGCAGAAAGCAACUCUGCAGCUUCACUGGGAUCUUUCAUAUAUAAUGAUUAAAAUCACAUCACUCAUUUGGUACGAGAGUUGUUUUAAACUGAACAUUGUAAACAGAUCAAUGUCUCCUGCUUUGCGUCAGCAUCUCUAUAGUAGCAGGAAACAAUUACCCUGUGAUAUCCUAUUCUCCUGCCAACACUUAGCCUGUGAUGCAGUCUUUGAACUGAAGUUGUCUUUAAUGAUCCUGUCAACACAAAGACUUAUUUUUUUAUAUACUUAUAUUUAUUUUUUCUGUAGGCCCAAAUGUCAGAAGACUUCUUGGUGAACCGUGCCUAAAAAAGAGAGGCAAUUUGGUGGGCAGUUUCAGAGGGUUUAAUUUGUGCAGAUGUGAGGAACAGUAAUCAUUCACUCACAUCCCUUUCUCUGAGUCUGUGUAUAAGGACAUCCAGAACAGGAGUAUUUAGUCCUAGUUGUUUCAUGGAAUCUGUUGUCCGUGAAUCUGAUAUCUCUGCCCUACAGUCUCAUUUCAGCAUCAAAACAUUGAUUGUACCACAUGGUUCCAUUUCACAUAGUCAUUUAUAAAUGUAACGACACUUCCCUACUGCUGUCGGCCUGCUGUAUGACAGACUCCAGAUGUCCUGGCUGGCAGAACACUGCUAACAGCACACUUCAAGCAAACCUUCCUGAAUUUUUUGGGUUUGAUUGAAACUUUUUACAUGUCUUCUUGCCAAGAAAUUUUGCUUUUCGUGAUCUCCACCUCAAACCUUUUCUUUGAUAGAAUUCACUGUCGCUUUCUGCAGUGGCAGGAAAGGGAGAUGUUUGCCUGUAAGUGGGUUAAGUUAAAACAAUUAGAGGUGCAUCAGGGAAAUCAAUGAAAAUUUGCUUCCGACAUGAGGCAAGGCCAGUUCUAUUUCAGCCACUAUUAUCAUAUUACAUCAACCCUAAAAAGCUCCAGACAGUUGAGCUACUUUGAGUUACUGUGUUCAUUACUGCACAUAUGUUACCCUAUGUAAAACACAGUUUAACAACAAAUAGCUGUCCAUUAUCUUCAGCCCUGAUUUUGUGGUAUUAAAAAUUCUUACUGUGAUUUUCCAAGUACAUUUGCUGUUUGGUGGGUAGACGCCAGGAAAUCCUUCACUCCCAAUAAACCCUGAUUCUCCAGAUACAACUCCUCCACAUGUAAAUGUAAGCCUGAGAAUAACAGGAAAAACAGUACUUAAUUUUUAAAUAUAUUUCAUUUAUUCUUUCUAUAGUAGUCAAGAGGCACGAACUGUCUCAACAGCUUAAAUACUUAAAACCAUUGCUAACAUGAAACAUUUAAUUAUUUACAUAAUAUCACUAUUGACAUAGAAUGUGCAAUUUAAUGUGUGAACUUAGGUGUAGAAAAAAUUAACUACUUGGGCCUUAAUUCUGGGUUGGCACAGACUGUUAUCCCUCCCUCCUUUUUUACUUCAUAAGAGCAAACGUGUGCCAGUGUGAUACAUCAUUGCAAAUCACUAUUAUAAUGAAAAUAAUUAUUAAAAAGUCAUUAGCAAUGACUUUUUAUAGCACAUAUAACAUUAGUUAAAAUAGCACUGAUAUAAAAAUUACUUCUCAUUCCUUUCUAUGCUUUGAAUUUUUAUGUUUUAAUCAAGGAAGUCUCUGGUACUUUUUUGUAGUUCAGUAGCACAACCCACCCCACACUGAGCCCCGCUCCUGGUGCUGAGCCCUGUGGCCGAGCUGUGCUCGGGGCUCAGCUCAAGUGAGCUCAGGUGCCGGUGCCGGCUCCGGACACACUGCACGGACACGCCGCACGGACACGCGAGGAGCCCUGGAAAACCUGUGUGGAGCCACUGCUACUGCUAAGGACACGAGGUGCUGGGUGAAGGAGGCAGUAGACUAACCGGGAUCCAUGCUUGCUCAAUUCCCAAGAGGACUUUUGUGUGAGAAGAGGUGCAUCUGCUGUUGGAAUAUCCCAGAUCUUUGGAGACAGCCUGCAAGAUGGUUGGAAAGGAAUGAAGACUGCUUGCCUCUACCACAUAAUAUUUCUGGUGGAUGGGUAGCAUCUUUGAAUAAGGAAUCAGAGAAAUUUCAAGGAUUGUUGGGGAAAAUGAAGUUUUUCCAGGCUGUGGAUUCCCAAGUUACCCUGCCUUUCACAGAAACCCUUCACUCUAUGACAACAAGAUAAAAGAUUUCCAAAGAAAAUUUUGAAGGAAAGCUGCUGCAAAAGGAGAGGAGUCUCUGUCUUAAAACUCAGUGAUGGAUGGGACACAGCAGAUUUCUGCAUCUAUGCAUCUUAUGUAAAAGCUAUAAAGAACAGGCAGCUGUCAGCAAGAGCUGUUGAAAUUGAGGAUUCAAUCAAACUCAGACCUCUGAUCACUGAAGAUACUGAAAUCGGCCGGAAUAAACUUUAUAACGCAAUUCGAAGCAUUAGAAAGCAGGCAUUCUUUAUCUGUGCAGGACUCACAGAGGAUAUUUCUUUUGUUCUGUGUGUGUUGUGAGACUUUACAAAAAGGUAUUGAUACACCGUAAACAUACAUAUUCAUUAAAACGUGGUUCUUAUUUAAUACAUAAACAUUACUUUCCUAGAGCUAAUUUGUAUGUAUCCACCUCCCACUGGAAGUCCUUUUAUGGUCCUGGAGAGUAAUAAAAGGGAUCUGGUGGUUGUAUUCAUUGAAUGCUUUGAUAUUAAAGGUGACUUUUACUUGAACUUUU
Long non-coding RNA from Corvus hawaiiensis (hawaiian crow), 7556 nucleotides. RefSeq lists it as uncharacterized. The record is from RefSeq and is a predicted model, not a curated record. NCBI's taxonomy places the organism in Eukaryota, Metazoa, Chordata, Aves, Passeriformes, Corvidae. The transcript is spliced from 9 exons.